This 577-nucleotide long non-coding RNA is filed under the name Gallus gallus (chicken). Its description in RNAcentral is "lncRNA (ENSGALG00010018733.1)". The record is from RNAcentral. Lineage: Eukaryota; Metazoa; Chordata; Aves; Galliformes; Phasianidae.
GAGAGAUAGCCAGGGAUCCCUGAAGUGCUGGGACUUGGGAGGAAGUUUCUAGUCUCCUCACAGCAAUGAAUUCCAGGACCAAGAACUACAUAAGUGAAUAAGAAGAAUAUAAUUCAGAAGGGCUGAUACCUCUUGGAAGGUGUGAGAAGGCUGAGCUUUUGCUUAAGAUACCAGUAUUUCUCCAAAGGAAGGAGUGCUGAUAUAUCAGUGGGCAAUGUAUUCAGAGCUCAUUUCCUAGACAGAGCACUGAGAUGUCAUGAAUGCCUGUGUGCUAUACUCACCUUCCCCAUGGUACCGGGUGUUCUGGGUGCCUACUGAUGGCAGGAGAGCACCCUCAGCCCCACUGAGAUGUGGGGCACUGUGGUACAGAGGCAGAUCCAGGCUCUCCUGGCUUUCUAGCACCUGUGCCUCAACCACGAGGCCAAAUGCAUACUGAAGCUCUGGAUUUCAGGCCUAAGAUGAAGAGUCACUGCCAUUAGUUCCACACCAUCACAAUUGUAACAUCAAAACAAGCACUGUAUUAAAAAUAAACACAGCAGGCAUUCACUGGCAUGAUUAAAAUGUAUACAUAUGGGUG